GAUGAACGCUAGCGGGAGGCCUAACACAUGCAAGCCGAGCGGUAGAAGAUCUUCGGAUCUUUGAGAGCGGCGUACGGGUGCGUAACACGUGUGCAACCUACCUUUAUCUGGGGGAUAGCCUUUCGAAAGGAAGAUUAAUACCCCAUAAUAUAUUGAAUGGCAUCAUUUAAUAUUGAAAACUCCGGUGGAUAGAGAUGGGCACGCGCAAGAUUAGAUAGUUGGUGAGGUAACGGCUCACCAAGUCUGUGAUCUUUAGGGGUCCUGAGAGGGAGAUCCCCCACACUGGUACUGAGACACGGACCAGACUCCUACGGGAGGCAGCAGUGAGGAAUAUUGGACAAUGGGUGAAAGCCUGAUCCAGCCAUCCCGCGUGAAGGAUGACGGUCCUAUGGAUUGUAAACUUCUUUUGUACAGGGAUAAACCUACUCUCGUGAGGGUAGCUGAAGGUACUGUACGAAUAAGCACCGGCUAACUCCGUGCCAGCAGCCGCGGUAACAC
RNAcentral lists this ribosomal RNA (498 nucleotides) under uncultured bacterium. RNAcentral describes it as "bacterial SSU rRNA". It matches the Rfam family "Bacterial small subunit ribosomal RNA", at positions 28 to 526 of the family's 1533-position model. The record is from RNAcentral.